This 253-nucleotide ribosomal RNA is filed under the name uncultured bacterium. Its description in RNAcentral is "partial 16S ribosomal RNA". It matches the Rfam family "Bacterial small subunit ribosomal RNA", at positions 524 to 776 of the family's 1533-position model. The record is from RNAcentral.
UACGUAGGGUGCAAGCGUUAAUCGGAAUUACUGGGCGUAAAGCGUGCGCAGGCGGUCUUUUAAGUCAGAUGUGAAAUCCCCGGGCUUAACCUGGGAACUGCGUUUGAAACUGAAAGGCUAGAGUGUGGCAGAGGGGGGUGGAAUUCCACGUGUAGCAGUGAAAUGCGUAGAGAUGUGGAGGAACACCGAUGGCGAAGGCAGCCCCCUGGGCUAACACUGACGCUCAUGCACGAAAGCGUGGGGAGCAAACAGG